AGAUUGAACGCUGGCGGCAGGCCUAACACAUGCAAGUCGAGCGGUAGAGAGGUGCUUGCACCUCUUGAGAGCGGCGGACGGGUGAGUAAUGCCUAGGAAUCUGCCUAGUGGUGGGGGAUAACGUUCGGAAACGGACGCUAAUACCGCAUACGUCCUACGGGAGAAAGCGGGGGACCUUCGGGCCUCGCGCCAUUAGAUGAGCCUAGGUCGGAUUAGCUAGUUGGUGAGGUAAUGGCUCGACCAAGGCGACGAUACCGUACGUGGUCUGAGAGGAUGUAUCUGUCACACGUGGAACUGACGACCACGGUCCAGUACCUACCGUACGGGAGCCGAGCGAGGUAGGGAAUAGUUAGGAACAGUGGGACGAAAGCC
This 372-nucleotide ribosomal RNA is filed under the name uncultured soil bacterium. RNAcentral's name for it is "bacterial SSU rRNA". It matches the Rfam family "Bacterial small subunit ribosomal RNA", at positions 26 to 383 of the family's 1533-position model. The record is from RNAcentral.